Molecule: microRNA precursor, 72 nt
Filed under: Saimiri boliviensis boliviensis (Bolivian squirrel monkey)
Lineage: Eukaryota; Metazoa; Chordata; Mammalia; Primates; Cebidae
Description: miRNA (ENSSBOG00000019406.1)
Source: RNAcentral
GGAGAAUAGCUUGAACCUGGGAGAUGGAGGUUGCAGUGAGCUGAGAUCACGCCACUGCACUCCAGCCUGGGC